AACAAGGUUUCCGUAGGUGAACCUGCGGAAGGAUCAUAGUA
Molecule: ribosomal RNA, 41 nt
Filed under: Oxalis bisfracta
Lineage: Eukaryota; Viridiplantae; Streptophyta; Magnoliopsida; Oxalidales; Oxalidaceae
Description: partial 18S ribosomal RNA
Source: RNAcentral